AACGAACGCUGGCGGCAUGCCUAACACAUGCAAGUCGAACGAGACCUUCGGGUCUAGUGGCGCACGGGUGCGUAACGCGUGGGAACCUGCCCUUAGGUUCGGCUUAACUCCCCGAAUGAGGUGCUAAUACCGGAUCUUAUCUCGCGACCAAAGUUUGAUCGCGUUUGGGUGGGCCGGCGUUGUAUUACCUAGUUGGUAGGCUAAAAGCGUUCAAAAGCGUGGAUCGAUAGCUGGGUUGAGAGGAUGAUCAGCCACACUGGGACUGGGACACGGCCCAGACUCCUACGGGAGGCAGGAGUGGGGAAUAUUGCACAGCCGGCUAUAGGCAGAUCCACUUAGGACGCGUGAGUGAUGAAGGCCGUAAGGUUGGAAAGCACUUUUACCCCGGAUGAUAAUGACAGUACCGGCAGAAUAAGCACCGGCUAACUCCGUG
Molecule: ribosomal RNA, 433 nt
Filed under: uncultured bacterium
Lineage: Bacteria
Description: partial 16S ribosomal RNA
Rfam family: Bacterial small subunit ribosomal RNA
Source: RNAcentral